RNAcentral lists this transfer RNA (93 nucleotides) under Mizugakiibacter sp. RNAcentral's name for it is "tRNA-Ser". It matches the Rfam family "tRNA". Rfam says of the family: Transfer RNA (tRNA) molecules are approximately 80 nucleotides in length. Their secondary structure includes four short double-helical elements and three loops (D, anti-codon, and T loops). Lineage: Bacteria; Pseudomonadati; Pseudomonadota; Gammaproteobacteria; Lysobacterales; Rhodanobacteraceae. The record is from RNAcentral.
GGAGAGGUGUCCGAGUGGUUGAAGGAGCACGCCUGGAAAGCGUGUAUACGGCUAAACCCCGUAUCGAGGGUUCGAAUCCCUCUCUCUCCGCCA